CCUUCACCAGAGGAUACUCUUGCUAAAUUAUCCGUUUGCGACGCCAAUGCCUUCAGUUGUCCACCCAACAAUUCAGCUGUCUCGACCGAGUCGCAUCUGAUCGAACGGAAAGUUUCGAUAACGGGACUCGUGCGUUGAAUGGUUUUCCAUAACAAAUCAUGUUUAUCUCGGAGAAACCGAAGGCUUUUGAUCUUUUGAAACUUAAUCCGUGAGAAUAUGAGAGAGUAGGUGGAUUCCUCGUCGUCAAGAUAUAAUGAAAAAUACGUUAACAGCUCGUUAUACGAAGAAGAAGGAUAAUUAAGUAAGAUGACGACCUAUAAUCCAUAAGAUCGAGCUGAUGAACGAAUCAACCUCCAUCUUUGGAGAACGAACCUUCUUCUUAUCCUUCAUAUUAAUAAUACUAAAAAAAAAAAGGUAAAAAGAAAAAAGCAGAAAAUGAAGAGAAACAAAAUUUAUUAUCACGCAGAUCAAAGAUUAAAAAAAAAGAAAAUAAGAAAAAAAAAGAAAGGAAGAAAUGAAUAUGAUAAUAAAUGAGAUGAAAGUGUGAUAACGAAGUCAUAGCCGAGCGAAGGCCGAGGAAAAGCUACAUAAUCAGAUACGUGAAAAAAUAAUUAAUAUGAUAAAAGAAAAUAGAAAAAAAAUUAAAACCUGUAUGCAUGAACAUGGACUGGAUUGUUAGUGGCAGGAUUUGGUAAGAGCAAAGUCGCUGCUACGAUAUCUUCUCGUUGAACAGCAGCCAAUACAGCAUGACCUGGUACCAAAUGUUUUACAGCUGAUCUAGUAGAACCUCCAGGAUGAACAGUUUGAAUGAUCUUUAGGCCCUUGCUGCUCACCUGUCGACAAGAAUAAAAUCUUAAUCGAGAAACAUCGUUACCAGGCAUGUUAGAACGAUAAAAAUAACUUGUAAUCGAGAUGUCUAAUCAGUCGUUUGAUUGUAAUUACGAUAAAGAUAUAGCUCUCUGUGGUAUAUCAAUAGACAUGCGUACGUUCAAAUGUUAUUUUCUAGGAUGAAACAGGUGUCUCUCGUCAGAUGUUUGAUUAUUAUUAUAAUCAAAAUAUAAUCUAUACAGGAUGGCAUUUAAAUAAGAAUGAUUCAACAUCCAUCGACACAAAGCAUGGAUCAUCAAAUAAUUAUACUUAUCUCGGCUAGAGACAAAACAUGAAAAUCUCGUAAGACUAGUCUCUCUUACGUUUUGUUUCUUACGGUGACACGCGUGCCAUUGUUCACGAUAGCGGAAACGCGAACGACGUAAUUACUACAUCUCGCUCGACGAUUACGUGCGAUCCUCGUUUAAAAGGCCAAAAGAGAGAGAGAGAGAGAGAGAGAGAGAGAGAGAGAGAGAGAGAGAGAGAGAGAGAGAGAGAAAUAACUAGAGAAAAGAACACGUUCAGAAAGAAGGCGUCAUCUUAGCACAUUCUUCGACUACUUAAAGCAAACAACCUAAGCAAUUAACAAGCCUAUCCAUAUUAUCAUCGUGAUAACAUUGUCAUUGCUUUGCCGAUUUAGGUAAAUUCUAGCGCAUAAUAUGACCCUCCUCCAUCUUAUUCGACAAUGUUUUUAAGACUUUCUCUUUAUGACAGGCUUGUAAUUACACUUGCACAAUAAU
Molecule: long non-coding RNA, 1607 nt
Organism: Vespula pensylvanica (western yellowjacket)
Lineage: Eukaryota; Metazoa; Arthropoda; Insecta; Hymenoptera; Vespidae
Exons: 4
Source: RefSeq, a predicted model, not a curated record